This 563-nucleotide ribosomal RNA is filed under the name Hippolyte chacei. RNAcentral's name for it is "partial large subunit ribosomal RNA". It matches the Rfam family "Bacterial large subunit ribosomal RNA", at positions 1809 to 2644 of the family's 2925-position model. Lineage: Eukaryota; Metazoa; Arthropoda; Malacostraca; Decapoda; Hippolytidae. The record is from RNAcentral.
AAAAACAUGUCUUAUUGAAGAGUUAAUAAGUCUUGCCUGCCCACUGAAAGUUUUAAAGGGCUGCGGUAAUUUGACCGUGCGAAGGUAGCAUAAUCAAUAGUCUCUUAAUUGGAGACUGGAAUGAAUGGCGUUACGAGAAAAAAGCUGUCUUAGGGGUGUAGGUUGAAUUUUACCUUUAAGUGAAAAGGCUUAAAUAAUAUUAAGGGACGAUAAGACCCUAUAAAACUUAACAUUUACGCUAUUUUUUAAUUAUACGUGAAGAUAGAAUGAUAGUUUAGUUGUUUGGUUGGGGCGACCUAGAUAUAAAUUAAGUAGCUGUCUUAGAAUACAAAUAGUUAUAGCUUGUUUUACGAACCUUUAAUAAGGAUUAAAAGACCAAGUUACUUUAGGGAUAACAGCGUAAUUUUUUCUGAGAGUUCUUAUCGAAGAAAAUAGUUGCGACCUCGAUGUUGAAUUAAAACUUCUUUUAAGCGCAGUCGUUAAAAUAGUAGGUCUGUUCGACCUUUGAAGUUUUACAUGAUUUGAGUUCAGACCGGUGUGAGCCAGGUUGGGUUUUCUAUCUA